UUUAAUAUCCAGCACAAAGCGUGUAAAUAAAAUAAAUAGCAUGUUGUCUUUAUCUUCAAAGGCAUUAUAUUGUACUUCUAGCAAGUGCACCAACAGAAAAACAACGCCUGGAAUGGUGAGUAUAAGAAUAGACUUUACAGAAAAAGCAAACUUCAAAAUGAAUCACAUAGCCACUGAACACAGUAGGAGAUAGGAGGAAGUCCUUAAAACUUCUAGUUUGGUUUGAUUUGUUCACAAAUGGAGCUUUACUGUGUGUAGUGGAAGUAUAGAAAUCAGGAGAUCCAUAUGCAACUUAUUUUUUUGUUUGCUUUAUGGAGAUCUGUGCAUCAUUUCUUAAUUGUAUAUUUAAAGUGCACUUACAGCUUGUUUUUCUUAAAAUUUUUGUGUGGAUAACUUUUGUAACCUUGCUGGUGUGAAUGGAGUGUUUCUUGGCUCUUUUUUCCCCGUUGUUUGGCAAUUUUGGGUAGAACAUAAGGCUUCUGGUUUUAUCGGUGGGAGUUCAGCUAGUUGAAAUGCCCUGGUAUGUGCAUUUUAUUUAUUUAUUUUUAAGUUAACCAAAACUUUUUGUUAAUACUAAGUGACAUUUGUUCAGGGUGGGCUUGGUGGAAUCAAAAAUCCGAAUCCUGGUUGGAAGCUUGGAGAAGAAUGAAUUUAUUACACUGGCUCAUGUGAAUCCCCAGUCAUUUCCAGCACCCAAAGAAAAUCCCGACAAGGAAGAAUUUCGCACGAUGUGGGUGAUUGGGUUAGUGUUUAAAAAAACAGAAAACUCUGAAAACCUCAGUGUUGAUCUCACCUAUGAUAUUCAGUCUUUCACAGAUACAGCAUUCAACAGAAGGUGUCAAAUUGACAGCUCUCAAUGACAGCAGCCUCGACUUGUCUAUGGACAGUGAUAACAGCAUGUCUGUGCCUUCACCUACUAGUGCUACGAAGACCAGUCCAUUGAACAGUUCUGGCAGCUCUCAGGGGUAAGGAAAAAGAGGGAAACAGAAGUAGAGGGGCUGUUUGCUAAAUCAAUCAGAUACAUUCUCUUUUUGCUAUUAAAGUCAUCUAUUUAGAAUGUUAAUUCAUUCCAUCUACUAAUUUUUUUUUAAAUAGCAAUUUAAUUCCCAGGUUUGGGGAUAGUACUUUUUGGUUUUGUCUUGUCAUACUUAACAUUUUAUUUUUGAGACUGAUAAUGUCUUCAGUCAGAUGUGAAUGAAUGUUAGCACAUAACCCCUCCAAAUUCAUGUAUUUAGAUAGCUACUGCUACAGUGCACUGUAUGGUGUGCUGAUGAGAACAGACAAAAGGAACAAAACCACCUUUCUGUCCUAGAGCUGCUUAUACCUUUGUAACAGGGAAUGUGUCUAUGAUAGUUAGGGAAACCUGUUGUAGAAGAGCUAGAUAUCUGUCUAACAUUUACAGCAGUUAAAAUUUUAAAAAUUUAUUAUUAUUUUGAGAAAUGGGGUCUGGCUGUGUUGUUUAGGCUGGCCUUGAGUUCCUGGAUUUAAGCGAUCCUCCUACUUCAACCUUCUGAGUAGCUGAGACUACAGGCGCAUGCCACUGCCCUGGGUAUGAAGCAGUGAAAAAUUUUCAGCCAGGUGCAGUGACUCACACCUGUAAUCCCAACACUUGGGGAGGCUGAGGUGUUAGGAUCACUUGAGGCCAGGAGUUCAAGACCAGCCUGGGCAACGUAGUGAGACUCCCAUCUCUAGAAAAAAGUAAAAGAAUUAGGUGUGGUGGUAUGCACCUGUAGUCGUGGCCACUCAGGAGGCUGAGGUGGGAGGAUUGCUUGAACCUGCAAGGUUGAGACUACAGUGAGCUGUGAUCCCACUGCUGCACCCCAGCCUGGGCAACCAGAGUGAGACCCUGUCUUAAAAAAAAAAAAAAAA
RNAcentral lists this small RNA (1869 nucleotides) under Pan troglodytes (chimpanzee). RNAcentral describes it as "retained intron". The record is from RNAcentral. Lineage: Eukaryota; Metazoa; Chordata; Mammalia; Primates; Hominidae.